AGAGUUUGAUCAUGGCUCAGGAUGAACGCUGGCGGCGUGCUUAACACAUGCAAGUCGAACGAGGUCCAACCUUCGGGUGAAGACCGAGUGGCGAACGGGUGAGUAACACGUGGGGAACCUGCCCUGCUCUCUGGGAUAACCUCGGGAAACCGAAGCUAAUACCGGAUACUCCUUGCGGACCGCAUGGUCUGCUCGGGAAAGCUCCGGCGGAGAAGGAUGGCCCCGCGGCCCAUUAGCUUGUUGGUGGGGUAACGGCCCACCAAGGCGACGAUGGGUAGCCGAGCUGAGAGGCUGAUCGGCCACACUGGGACUGAGACACGGCCCAGACUCCUACGGGAGGCAGCAGUGGGGAAUCUUGCGCAAUGGGCGAAAGCCUGACGCAGCAACGCCGCGUGCGGGAUGAAGGCUCUCGGGUCGUAAACCGCUUUCAGCAGGGAUGAAAAUGACAGUACCUGCAGAAGAAGCCCCGGCUAAAUACGUGCCAGCAGCCGCGGUAAUACGUAUGGGGCAAGCGUUAUCCGGAUUCAUUGGGCGUAAAGCGCGCGUAGGCGGCUUGUUAAGUCAGGCGUGAAAUCCGGGGGCUCAACCCGCGGCUUGCGUCUGAAACUGGCAGGCUUGAGUCUGGUAGAGGAAAGUGGAAUUCCUGGUGUAGCGGUGAAAUGCGCAGAUAUCAGGAGGAACACCAGUGGCGAAGGCGGCUUUCUGGGCCACGACUGACGCUGAGGCGCGAAAGCUAGGGGAGCGAACAGGAUUAGAUACCCUGGUAGUC
RNAcentral lists this ribosomal RNA (769 nucleotides) under uncultured Actinomycetes bacterium. Its description in RNAcentral is "bacterial SSU rRNA". It matches the Rfam family "Bacterial small subunit ribosomal RNA", at positions 8 to 795 of the family's 1533-position model. The record is from RNAcentral. Lineage: Bacteria; Bacillati; Actinomycetota; Actinomycetes.